RNAcentral lists this ribosomal RNA (461 nucleotides) under uncultured Pelotomaculum sp. Its description in RNAcentral is "bacterial SSU rRNA". It matches the Rfam family "Bacterial small subunit ribosomal RNA", at positions 923 to 1382 of the family's 1533-position model. Lineage: Bacteria; Bacillati; Bacillota; Clostridia; Eubacteriales; Desulfotomaculaceae. The record is from RNAcentral.
GCACAAGCGGUGGAGCAUGUGGUUUAAUUCGACGCAACGCGAAGAACCUUACCAGGGCUUGACAUCCCCUGACCGCGUAUGAAAGUACGUUUUCACCCUCGGGUGACAGGGAGACAGGUGGUGCAUGGUUGUCGUCAGCUCGUGUCGUGAGAUGUUGGGUUAAGUCCCGCAACGAGCGCAACCCCUACGUUUAGUUGCUAACGCGUGAAGGCGAGCACUCUAGACGAACUGCCGUUGACAAACGGAGGAAGGUGGGGAUGACGUCAAAUCAUCAUGCCCCUUAUGUUCUGGGCUACACACGUGCUACAAUGGCCGGUACAGACGGACGCAAAGCCGCGAGGUGGAGCAAACCCUAAAAAGCCGGUCUCAGUUCGGAUUGCAGGCUGCAAUUCGCCUGCAUGAAGUCGGAAUCGCUAGUAAUCGCAGGUCAGCAUACUGCGGUGAAUACGUUCCCGGGCCUU